CCUACGGGAGGCAGCAGUGGGGAAUAUUGGGCAAUGGGCGCAAGCCUGACCCAGCAACGCCGCGUGAAGGAAGAAGGCUUUCGGGUUGUAAACUUCUUUUUACAGGGAAGAGUAGAAGACGGUACCUGUCGAAUAAGCCACGGCUAACUACGUGCCAGCAGCCGCGGUAAUACGUGGGGGGCAAGCGUUAUCCGGAUUUACUGGGUGUAAAGGGAGCGCAGACGGCAGUGCACGUCUGGAGUUAAAGGCGGGGGCCCAACCCCCGAACUGCUCUGUAAACUGUGAAGCUGGAGUGCAGGAGAGGUAAGCGGAAUGCCGAGUGUAGCGGUGAAAUGCGUAGAUAUUAGGAGGAACACCAGUGGCGAAGGCGGCUUACUGGACUGCAACUGACGUUGAGGCUCGAAAGCGUGGGGAGCAAACAGGAUUAGAUACCCUAGUAGUC
Molecule: ribosomal RNA, 442 nt
Filed under: uncultured bacterium
Lineage: Bacteria
Description: partial 16S ribosomal RNA
Rfam family: Bacterial small subunit ribosomal RNA
Source: RNAcentral